UGGUGGAGUGAUUUGUCUGGUUAAUUCCGUUAAUGAACGAGACCGCAGCCUGCUAAAUAAUCACAGUAAUGAUUUUUCAUUGCUGAUGGUUUCUUAGAGGGACAUGUAGUAUAAAACUACAGGAAGAUUGCGGCAAUAACA
Molecule: ribosomal RNA, 141 nt
Filed under: uncultured eukaryote
Lineage: Eukaryota
Description: partial 18S ribosomal RNA
Rfam family: Eukaryotic small subunit ribosomal RNA
Source: RNAcentral